Homo sapiens (human) is the source of this 375-nucleotide long non-coding RNA. The record is from Ensembl. Lineage: Eukaryota; Metazoa; Chordata; Mammalia; Primates; Hominidae.
CAGAUCUUAAACUAAUGUGAAUGAUUCCAGGUGUUACUAAUGGCUUCAGUGAAAUGUGCCAGUAUCUAAGACUUCUACUAAAUCUGAGAUAAUUCUUUGAGGUAGCGGCAUGAACAGCAUGGGAGCAAGUGGCUAUGUGGAAGAUGUCAAGCCAGACCUGUAAUGAUCGCCACGGCGCUGGAUUGACGGUUGCCCUCUCUUGUCUGGCGCUGCGUGGAAAGCGGGUGAAGGCAGAGAAGCCUGCCUGCUGACCCAUCGCUCUGCCCCAUCAGGAGUUCAAUUUACUUCCCCUGACACGCAGCGAUGAGGCGGUAUGGGUUGCAUUUGAUUGGUCCAUGUAGGUUAAAUAAAAAUUGGUUUAAUGAAUAUUUCAAA